Molecule: long non-coding RNA, 2882 nt
Organism: Mesoplodon densirostris (Blainville's beaked whale)
Lineage: Eukaryota; Metazoa; Chordata; Mammalia; Artiodactyla; Ziphiidae
Exons: 3
Source: RefSeq, a predicted model, not a curated record
GAGAGUGCUGCUGGGAGGCCUGAUUUACGUAGUCCUAAAUAUUUUCCAGUAGUUUAGCUCAUUUGAGUCUUUCAGGAUUUUUAAAAAAUAAGUCACAUAUUACACACAAAUAUAAAUAUUCCCUAUUAUGCAUGAAUUCAUUUUAGCACAUAUCUGGCAAAUUGUAAUUGCUUGUGCUUCAGGUUUUUCUCCCGCUUUCUGUUAGGCUCUUCUCCUGACGUGUUUUUUAUGGGCUCUCCUUAUUCUAUUUUUUUCUUUUAUUUACCCAACAGACAUUGUUGAAAAGAGCCAACGGCUUCCUUUUCCAGGUCAUAGAGAUUUUACCUCAGUGGAAGAGUCAGACAAACAGGUAAAGAAAGAAACGUAUAAUGUCAGAAACUGGUAACUGCUAUAAAGAAAAAUCAAAGAAAGGUAAGAGGAUGGGGCAGAUCGAUGCUAUUUUAGAUAGCAAUCAGGGAAGUUCUUUCCGGGUAGGUGACGUUUGGGAACAGACCUGAAUGAAAUGAGGUUUUGGGAGAAGCUGGUGUUUUACAGACAGCCAAGGAGACAAGUGUGGCUGCGGAUUGAGGUGCCAGGGAGUGAGUGAGGGGAGAGGUGGCCUGAGAGAUGGGCAAGGGACAGACCACCAGGCCUGCCUAUAUUGGGAAAGAGAUAGCCUCUUCUAGACUAUUUUCCCUCAACUUGUGAUUUUUCUCCUCCUUUCAGACUCCCUUUUUUUUCUUUUUUUAAAUUAAUUUUUAUUGGAGUAUAGUUGCUUUACAAUAUUGCAUCAGACUCCUUUUAAGGAAACAAAGUGCUUGCAUAUAUAGUUUGCUCACUUUAAAUGUAAGGGAGUCUUUGCCAGUUGUCUCUAGAAGUUUCUUACAAUGGCACAUUCCGGUAUGGAGGUGUUGCUUUGUUCCCUUCGCAAGUAUUUUUUGGCGGAUAGGGUCAGUCCAAUUUUGUCUUAGAACUCUAUGGUGUCUUUAAGUGGUAGUUUAUGGUAGAAACUGUUCCAUUUGUCUGGUCCUAUCUCCUGGGUCGUUGGAGAAUAUUUUAAUGCGUAAGUAGAAAUUCUAGUUUAUGGGCCCCGUACCUUCAUUGUAUAAUAGUUUUCUCAUUUUUCUCUUAGUCCUUGGUUUUUAUUUUCCAGUCUGCUUCCUCCUUCACCACAUCCUUUUCAUAGAUCACCUUUUCAAUUUUUAGCAACUUUUUCCAUUUUUCUUGGCAUAACACUCAACAUGAGCAAGUGAGGUAAGAAACAUGUACACCCUCCUUAAAUUGAAAUACAAGCAUGUAUCUGUCAAACAUUUCUGCCUUAGGCAACGUCAGUCCCUGGUUUUGCCCUUUGUGGUUGGCAGUUUCUAAGAUGGCUCCGAUGAUCCUGCUUCCUGGUGUUCACACCCUCUGAAACUGCCUCCCUUUGAGCGUGGGCUGGACCCAGGGCCUUCCUUCUAACAGAGAGAAUGUGGCAAAAGCGAUGGGAUGUCAAAAAAUAUUCUGGCUCCUGUCUUGCUCGUUCUCUCCUCCUCUCAUUUGCUUGCUCUGAUCUGUGAGCUGCCCUAUGGAGAGGCCCACAUAGCAAGGAACUGAGGAAGGUGUCCAACUAACAACCAACAAGGAACCGAGUCCCUCAAUCCGAUGACCCAGGAGCAACUGGACCCUGUUAAUAUAACCACUUGAGUGACUGUGGAAGCAGAUCCUCCCCGAGUUGAGCCUUGAGAUGACUGCAGCCUUGCGAGAGCCCCAGAGUCAGAGGACUCAGCUAUGCCAUACCCAGAUUCCUGACCCGCACAAACUAAAGGAGUCACUCAGCUCCUUUAGGGGUUUCUUCCAGAGGAAAUUGUUCCACGUAUAGCUGUAGAUUUGGUGUGUACAUGAGAGGAGUCAUUAUUCUUUCCUGCACGUAGCACACAGAGGAGAGAUGAUGUCUGGAAGAAUCCGCCCCCCCUAGAAAAUGAGGGAUUACAGGAGUGGCUGUGGAGUCCUUUAACCCUGAGGGAUCCUGAAAAAAAUGGUAUGAGAACCCUGAGCAUCAAGAUAAAGAAUCAAACAAAAGGAGGAGGUGAAGGGAGAUGCUCUCAACCUCUGAGGAGUCAGCCCUGAGGAGACAGUGAGCUGGAAAGGGCUGGAGGGCACAAGUGCCUUGGCUUCAGAUACAAUUGCUUGUUGACAGAGAAUAGCCCCUGAGGCGGGUCCUGGGUGGUUCCACUCUGCCUGAAGCCUAGGAAACAUAUGUCUCUCUCUUGAUUUCUGAGAGGGGGCUAGGAAAGCCUAGACAGCUUGGAAAAUCUAAUUAAAAAUCUGUAAAAAAUCUUCCUAUCCUGGCAAGAUCAGAGAUGGCAGAGCCAACGUGGAGCCACAGUGAAGCUGCUGUGAAGAACAGGAAUUGCUGCAGGUGUGGGCAGUUGCAGCCACGUGUUGCUGGCCCGCCUGUGCACCUUUGCUGCCCUCAGAAGAUCUUGGCUACACCCUCCCAGUACCACAAGGCAGCUUCCCAAUCACAUUCUGAAUCUGUGCUCACGUUAAUUUGCCAGUGAGACUGAGCUGGCUAAUACACUACAGCUUCUUUUAAAAUGUGAGAGAACAUUUUCUCAGCCAACUGGCUGGUGUGUGUGUGUGUGUGUGUGUGUGUGUGUGUGUGUGUUUUCCUUAACUUUGUAUUUCAAUGGGUUUAUUAAGGUAUAAUUCACAUGUAAUAAACUACACGUUAAAGACGACACAUAUUUGACAAGUUUUGACAUAUACCCAUGAAACCACCACAGUGAAGAUAAUGAAUGUAUUCAUCGCCUGUAAUAAUUUCCUGUUGCCCCUUUAUCAUCCCUCCCUCCCACUCUUCAUCCACCUCCUUCUGCCAGACAUUCAUUUAUCUGAUUUCUGUCACUAUAGAUUAAAUUGUAGUU